RNAcentral lists this ribosomal RNA (1346 nucleotides) under uncultured bacterium. RNAcentral's name for it is "partial 16S ribosomal RNA". It matches the Rfam family "Bacterial small subunit ribosomal RNA", at positions 28 to 1381 of the family's 1533-position model. The record is from RNAcentral.
GACGAACGCUGGCGGCGUGCUUAACACAUGCAAGUCGAACGGAAAGGCCCUGCUUUUGUGGGGUGCUCGAGUGGCGAACGGGUGAGUAACACGUGAGUAACCUGCCCUUGACUUUGGGAUAACUUCAGGAAACUGGGGCUAAUACCGGAUAGGAGCUCCUGCUGCAUGGUGGGGGUUGGAGAGUUUCGGCGGUUGGGGAUGGACUCGCGGCUUAUCAGCUUGUUGGUGGGGUAGUGGCUUACCAAGGCUUUGACGGGUAGCCGGCCUGAGAGGGUGACCGGCCACAUUGGGACUGAGAUACGGCCCAGACUCCUACGGGAGGCAGCAGUGGGGAAUAUUGCACAAUGGGCGGAAGCCUGAUGCAGCAACGCCGCGUGCGGGAUGACGGCCUUCGGGUUGUAAACCGCUUUCGCCUGUGACGAAGCGUGAGUGACGGUAAUGGGUAAAGAAGCACCGGCUAACUACGUGCCAGCAGCCGCGGUGAUACGUAGGGUGCGAGCGUUGUCCGGAUUUAUUGGGCGUAAAGGGCUCGUAGGUGGUUGAUCGCGUCGGAAGUGUAAUCUUGGGGCUUAACCCUGAGCGUGCUUUCGAUACGGGUUGACUUGAGGAAGGUAGGGGAGAAUGGAAUUCCUGGUGGAGCGGUGGAAUGCGCAGAUAUCAGGAGGAACACCAGUGGCGAAGGCGGUUCUCUGGGCCUUUCCUGACGCUGAGGAGCGAAAGCGUGGGGAGCGAACAGGCUUAGAUACCCUGGUAGUCCACGCUGUAAACGGUGGGUACUAGGUGUGGGGUCCAUUCCACGGGUUCCGUGCCGUAGCUAACGCUUUAAGUACCCCGCCUGGGGAGUACGGCCGCAAGGCUAAAACUCAAAGGAAUUGACGGGGCCCCGCACAAGCGGCGGAGCAUGCGGAUUAAUUCGAUGCAACGCGUAGAACCUUACCUGGGUUUGACAUGGAUCGGGAGUGCUCAGAGAUGGGUGUGCCUCUUUUGGGGUCGGUUCACAGGUGGUGCAUGGCUGUCGUCAGCUCGUGUCGUGAGAUGUUGGGUUAAGUCCCGCAACGAGCGCAACCCUUGUUCACUGUUGCCAGCACGUUAUGGUGGGGACUCAGUGGAGACCGCCGGGGUCAACUCGGAGGAAGGUGGGGAUGACGUCAAGUCAUCAUGCCCCUUAUGUCCAGGGCUUCACGCAUGCUACAAUGGCUGGUACAGAGAGUGGCGAGCCUGUGAGGGUGAGCGAAUCUCGGAAAGCCGGUCUCAGUUCGGAUUGGGGUCUGCAACUCGACCUCAUGAAGUCGGAGUCGCUAGUAAUCGCAGAUCAGCAACGCUGCGGUGAAUACGUUCCCGGGGCU